RNAcentral lists this long non-coding RNA (15868 nucleotides) under Gallus gallus (chicken). The record is from RNAcentral. Lineage: Eukaryota; Metazoa; Chordata; Aves; Galliformes; Phasianidae.
CAGCAUGUUAGCAUAGCAGCAGGAGCUUCUUCCUAAGAGGAAGCUGGGGUCUGCUGAAGCUUUGAGGGCCACGUGGGAGUGAUUCAUUCAGCUGCAAUUUGCACACAGCACAUGGUGAAGGGUGAGAUGGACUUGACAGAGUCCCAUUUUGGGAAAAGUUUGGUUAGAAAAAUGUCAUCGAGUUGUAACAUAUCAUCAGUUCUAUGUGUGUUUUGGGGUGUCCCUUCUCCUGAUCUAGAUUAAAUUACAUAUGGUGUUAAUACAGAGUCUUCUGCAACAACGUAAAUGAGUUGUUAACAUGGCACUUCAUUGCUAUAAUAAUUCAAAGCUAGUAGCAGGCUUGAUGGUUCUGCAAUAAAUGCUUUAUUAUUUAGGAAAAAUAUACUAUACAAGUUGCAAUGUGCCAUGCUCAUUCAUGCUGUAAAUCAACAAAGAUCAGCAGACUGAAUAGAAAAAUGAAAAGCUUAUUUAGGAACUGACACAAGCUUUCAGAUGAGCAGGGAUGGCUGAAGUUAACUGCAUUCAUUUUUCUUUGCUUGUCACAGUUGCCACUUGAAUUUCACUGCUAAAGAUUGCGGGGAGUUUUGCUUUAUGAAAUUAUAUCUACAGAAACAGUAUUUGCAUUUAUAUAGGCUUAGUUAUAAUAAAGUUAAACCUAACACACCCCCUUGCCUGCACAAAAAAAAACCAAAACAAACAAACCGACCAGACAACCAGAAACCCCUGUUAAAAUAAUAUUUAUCCCUUGGUUUUUGUAGAUUUGAAUAGGAUUCUGCUAAGUGGGUCCUAUCAGCUGAUUUAAAGGCAUGAAACUGGUGAGCAGGUGAAAUGCAGGAGUUAGGAGCCUACAGCCUUCACUUCAGCUUUGCUCUAAGGCUCUGUCCUAACAUGGAUAAAAUCAGAGCUAUCAAAAAAUGUGGUAAGUGAAAGCACAGAUAGGGUACAAAAUCUGGGAGACUGGGGAUUAAUAUGAUCUUCAUGGCAUGAGUUAGUGAGUGAGUGAGACUGGGUUAGGUGUGAUCCACCAACCCUCAGGAGAAGAGAUGAGACCCUGCUGGAUAGCACUGGCUGUUGAACUGACACAGACUCCUGGAGAUGGGCAAAACUGGUGCCUGGGUGCUCUGCCCUGCUGAGAUGGGCUUCAAGACCACCUCCAUGAAUAUUUGCCAAAUAGCCCAUUUCCUUCAUGCUUUGCAGAUAGCAUGAAGAUGUCCUUUGCUUAUUCUCUGUGUUAUCUUAGUGAUAUUAAAGAAUAUAAAAGCCAGGAUUUCUAAACUGCUGGAAAUAUUUAUUUUUUUUUACAUUUAAUUGUGUUUUAAAACAACUACUGUAUCUUUUCAAUUAUAGAAACAUUUUGAGGAUAUAUGUGAUGUGUAAGAGUUCUUUGGAAGUGAUGUAUUUUGUUCCCCAAACUAUUUGUCUUACUUGAUCAGCUUGAAAAGUUAAAUGCCUUUACUGCUUUGGAAAUGUAGCAAUAAGGAUUUUGUUCAAGACUAUUAUCUGCAAAUAAAAAUAGAAAAUUGAGAGCUGUCUUAUACUUGCAUGAUAGCAGAUAAAUGGAAGCUUUUGAAAUUAGGAUCAUUAAAAAAAGACAAAAGAAGUCAAAGAUUCUAAAAAAGUCAGAAAUCGUCCAUAAUCUAGAUCUUGAGUUUGUUUUGCAGAGGUUAGGUUUUGCUUUUGAGCCAGCUACAUGUACGCCAAGGAAAGUCCAAUUAAGAUGAUCGAAUUGUUAGUAUCAUAAAAUAAAGAAAGCAAAGGACAUUUAAUUAUAGCCAUGCUGCCAGGCACUAGUAUAACAAAAGGAAAAAUGUUCACCUACAACACAGAGAGCUGCUUAACGCAUUUGGUGUAAUAGGAGAAAAUAUAUGGUCUAAACAAGUACUUUAAAAUAGUUCAAAAAACUGUAUCUCCUCAUGUUAGUGUAGAUAUUUUCCAAUUAUCAACACGGUUUAAGAAAAAAUAAUAUUAUUUAAUAUUGAGACCUUCAACUUUGUUCACAGGUUGAAGAGAAAGCAUCAUGCAUUAAGACAAAAAGGGUGCCUAAGAAAAUGUAUUUGUGACCCAGAAGAAUGUAUAAUUGAUGUGUGUAGUUGUCUGGAUGGUAGAAUAACAAUAGCAGCCAUUAGAGAUGAGAGCUGGAACAAGUCAGGCAGUGAGGCAGGAUGUAUUUUAUAGGUCAUCUGGGCUCCAUUCAGAUCUACAGGUUGCUAUUUCUUCUCCAUACUUGAAAGCAUUUAAUGGAUUAUUAUAAAAGGAAAAGGAUGGUAUGCAAUAAUGGUUUAAAUUGAAGCUGUGUGUAUAUAUCACCACUGUGCAACUUCUAAAUGAAUGCUUCAUUUUUAAAAUUCUCCCAUGGCAUACUUGAAAGUUUGCCAGAGCAUCAAGGAAUUAAAACAAUGAAUUCACCGGCAGCAAGAGUAAAGGACACUUAAUGGUAUCAUUUUUCUCUUUCAUGACAUGAACUAUUAUAAAUAAGGAAAGUUCACCAAGAAAGAUUUUUCCAAAACUACUGCCUAUCCUCUUCAAGGAGGAUGAACUGUUUUUGUUCUCUGUUAUUUUAUAAUAUUAAGAAAAAAUAAGAGAAUUUUGGAAACAGACUUAACAAUCAAACAAUCAAAGCUGGAAGCACAUCAUUGUGAACUCAAAAUCAGAAUCCCUGCUUGCCUGGAAAAUGCUUCUUUCAUAUCAAAAUUGAUAUAAGUUAAAGGGUGGAGAAUUUUUCUGCUUUGUUUCACAUGAACAUAAAAGUUUUAUUCCUGCUUUUAAUGGGUAGUAUUUUACAAAUGUAAUGGAACAUAAUUUUACCAGGCUUCCCUAAGGGGAAGUCAUGGCAUGAUUACGCAGGCAGUCCCAUCUCAUUUAGUAUAAUGCUGACAAUAUACAUGCAAAUAUACUUAGGCAACUCAAGUUAUAGGUAGAUUGAAUGGCAUUCAGACAAUCAUAGAGUGGUGCAGAUGUUGAAGAAAUUUUUGCAAGAGAAAUAUGGAUUGAAUGGCUGCAGACAUACAUGCCCUCAAGUAAUAUUUCUUUGUGAUGCAGAAGAUUCAGGCUGUGCCAGACAGAAGAACUUGGCAUGCGUAUGUUCAGUGAUUUAGGCUGAACAUCUCAGCUUGGUCUUCUUUAAAGACCCAUAGUCCAGCAGAGGGUGAGAGGGAUGGAUCUUGAACCAUUGUGGCUCAAAAGGUCUCCUUCUGGGAGAAGGAGCUGUCCCCUUCCAGGGAGAGCUUUCACUGUUCCUUAGGAUACCUGAUUGCAGGAUGGUGGGAGAGAUGCCAAGGGGUUCUGCAGAUAUGGGAAAGAGUCAGAUCAGGUCAGAUAAAGGCACAGGGUGACAGAGUUGUGACUUUCAGAAUAAUGGAGUCUGCUCUCCAGAGUGGCAUUGCGUGCAGAAUCUUUCAGCUCUACAGAUCAAAACCACCUUUAUUUUAAAGAAAUGAAUUAAUGCAUUUCAAACUGCAAUCCCAGCAUGUUGGGUCCAUUUGUUACGAAACUCACAAACAAGGAGAAAUCUAUGUCACAAAAGCUAGCAUGAAAAGUUGUACAUUUUCAGGGUUUUAGGGGUGCUUCUUCUGGCUUAGCUUGCUCAUUAGUGAAGAAGAGCCCUAACAGAAAAUGUAUCAGAACUGCCUGUUUUCUUGCAGUGGGUUUUCCUUGGUGAAGUGUUGUAAGGCUCUGGUCUUCAGGAACCUAUAUUUGUGCGGAGAUGCAUGGAGGUGGUAGAAACCACACUGGAUCUGAAGUAACAGCAGAUUCUACGUGCUCCUGUGGGACUGCUGACAGCAGACAUCAGAGCUGUGGCUGUAGCUGGUAUCUGGGUUGCAGGUGUGGGGUCAGUAGGGGGGCUGGCACCUGCAGGCCUCUUUGGGUAGUCACAUCCUUUCUCUUCAGUUUUGAGAAAGCCAGACAAUAAUGAAGGCAAGCAAAGAAAUAAGAGAAAAUGAAGUACAAGAGCUCUGUCUUUGUUAGAUUUCUCUUAAACUUUCCCACUGAGUUUGUAGCUCAGAUCUGUAAGGAGUGACAAUGGAUAUGUGGGUUCAAAAUAUAUAUUACAGAUAUGUGUCUAUGUCUACUAUGGAGCAAACUACAUGAAGUCAGUGUUUAAAACAAAAGUAAUUUUUUUUUUUCAUCAUUAUUAGUGCUCUCUGUUCCCUGAUACGUUUGGUGCCAAACUGCUAUGUAGUAAUCAAGGAGAAUAUUUGGUUAAUAUUUUUUUUACUUUAUUUUCUUUGUAUUUAUUUGCUACAUCCCAGUUACUUGGCAUUACUUGGGAACGUGAAUUGCAUCCAUUUUCUCUCAGUCAUACAAAAUUUAUCAUUCAGAUGAACUAACACCUGAGUUGGUAACAGGCUGUGAAAGUGUUUGCUUUUCCUUGUUCAUUAGUUAGCAUUUCAUCUGUGAGCCUGGGAUGGGUAAAUUUCAGAGUGCAUCUUAUUUAACCUCUAAAAAUGUAUCCUCUGCUCAGUGACAAGGGGCACCCAGUGUUGUGCCUGCCCCACUCUUUACUUCUAGAGGACAAAGUUGCCAGAUGCUUCCCAUUGCAACCUUGUUCCAUGAGGCUGCUUUGUUUGCCUGUCUUUUUCUAUCUAAAGAAAUCCUCUCAGAUGGGAUGUAAGAUUGAUUUAAAGUUGUGUUUCUUUGUUUGUUUGCUUUUCAAGAUUAGGAAAAGCUUAGUCCAGCACUGCAGUUGGUGAUCUGUCAAAUGCUCAAGGCUCAGGGUAUGCUGCUGUCAUUUUCCUCCACAAAAGAAUGUCUCUGUUUCUGCAACUUGCAUAAUAGCUUUAGCUGGUUUAUUUAUUUUUCACAAGAAGUUUUUGAUCCAAGUAACCAGGUAAUGCAUUGUAACAUCAACCAGAAAUAUACAAGAGGGGAGAUUUUUUUUAACCAAGGAUUGUUCCAAUUGUAAGAAAAUCCAGAUGAAUGAAAAGUGUGAGUAAGUACACCAAAGCUAGAGGGCUUUAAGCUGCUCUGUGGAUGAUCUAAUUCUGAAGGAGAAUGGCCUCAGUUCAUGGUAGCUUAAUCCUCUUUUACAGUAAAGUCAGAUCACUUCUCAGUGAGAAUAUCCACAUAGGAAUUUAAUGCAUUUUAACUUACAUGUAUUAUUAUCAUGGGUUUAGUUGAUUUAUCUAAACUUUCCUGAAGUACUUCUUGUAGAAAAACCACUAGACAUAGACGUAUGGUACUAGCUUUAUUUAAACUGUAGUCAUGCCCCUAACUUGAUGUGGGUUUUCAUGUAACCAUGUGAAGUGAUAGAUGAAAAGUGGAUCAUAAGCUGCCCGCUUUCAUCCUGAUCUCAUGCGUAGCAAAGAGAAUUCAUUAUUUGUGACUACAUUGCCCAGAAACAUUUGGAAAGCCUCAGAACAAGUGUUUGGUAUUUGUUCACAUGCUGGGCAACAUCAGGAACUUUAUCCUGAAUUCCGAACUCAGCACAGUUAGGAUUUUGAGCUUAAGGGUCAACAAAAAUAAUUUUUGUGAUUAGUCUUUGUGUUAUCUAUCAUUUGUGCUUUUUUUUUUUUUAAGGCUGAAGAUAUAAAAUGAUACCUAUCACUGUAGAGAAACUUUACCUAUCAUGGUGACAAUACCAGCAGAAUCCCAGAAGCAUCUCUGAAUGUUCUAAGACCUACGUCACCACACAGCCACAGCCACCAUGGUGCACCACCUUUCAGCUGCGUUCCUUUCGUCAUCACACAUGAGGUUAUGGAAGCACUAGGAGCAGAGUUCCCUGCUACAACAGGAGCAACAAAUUCUUUGCAGAUCUGUUUAAUUUUUUCUUGCUUCUGCAGGUUCAUUUGAGCAGUUUACUUUAUAGCAAGUUUAGCCUGAAGCUUAGGACACUAGUAAAGCUGUCAAAUGAAAGCAUUACUGGUAUUUGAAGAAUUAAGCCUGUAUUUGAGAAGUUAAAGUUUGCCCUGCAUUAUUUCUUUAUUUCUUAUUUCAGCACUGUUUGCGUACCAUGUCUUUUUGAGUUAAUGCAUAACAACUCAAGUUGGCUAAAAGUGUAUGGAAUUAAUGAAACUGUGAGCCACAAAAAAGACGAAAUUGCUUUUUCUCUUUCUGUAAUUGCCACUACAAUAAAUGCUGCCUUUUCUGUAAAAUUUUUCAGGGUUAACCCCUGCAGAGCUCCCAGCUUGAUGAAGAAGUAGUGUGAUUAGAGGCGUGCAUGGGAGGCAGUAGAACAGCUGACUCAUUGUAGUUAGGGGUGUUCAAAGUCUGUAGGCAGCAGAAGGCAAAAGUUGCAGCUGUGCUGCCCAGUGCCUGGAUGAAGUGCAGCAUACUGAGUGAGGGUCAGCUGUGGUCCUGCAGCCCAGCAGCUCAGGCAGCCCUGCCCUAAUGUGCAUCCUUUUCAGUCAGCCUUGCUGAAUGCUGUAGAGAGUAACUGGAAGGGAAUGAUAGCUUUUGCAAUUCAGGAGAAAAGGAGGAAAGAGUUUGUUGUAUUCUCUGUGAUGGCCACUGUUGUGACCAACAGCCAUUGAUAUUCUAGAGUGAGAAGACAGGUGUGGACAGUCCCUUUAUGCAAGACCUGGAAACAAAACUCCUCAUUUACAACUUCUUUUUUAACUCUAAAAUAUUCUUACAUUUUGCUGGGUGCAUCCAUUCAAGUAAUUAUGUCACCUUCACAUUAAUCCUCAAUCUAAACAAUUCCACUUCCUUAGAAGCAUCAGCAAUGUGUGUUUAAGUAUUAGAGCAUCCUCAGCAUGCUAUAUGUAAUGUAAUACACUGCUGAAAGUUUAAAAGAAUCUCUGCCAAAGACACAGGCAUUAAACUGGUUUUAAAAUCUACUUUUAUUUUUAAAAUGUAAUAAAAACACUGUAUCAUUAUGAUGAGAGACCAUCUCUGGUGAGAGAUUGAACACGUUCUUGUUAGCGUUCACAUAGUCAGACAUAGCAAAAUGCGAACAAACGCUGGUGAUAAAUGCUUCCUCUGCUUUCAGUAUUCUAUAUGAUUUGUUCUGUGUUUUUCUUUUCUUUUCUUUUUUUUUUUUUCCUUCCUAUUAGAAUAGAAAAUACAUUUAAGAGCCUGGAAAUCAGUAGAUUUUUUAAAUGUCUUGAAUACCAUUUCAUCUGGAAAAAAGGUUUAGAAUAAGUAACCUGCCGUGUUAGAAAAGGUUGCUAAUUAUCUGAAUUUCACUGUGGUUUAAUUAGCAGCAUCUACAGUAGAAUGUGGAGGUGGUGCUUGUCACCUGCCAAGGAAAAUGUUGUCUUUCAGAGGAGAGUAAAUGAUGUCUACCAAAAUACAGCCUGAUUUUAGAUCUGAAAAAAAAAAAAAAAAGAAAAAUAAUAAUAAUAAAAAAUCCCCUUACAUUCUUUUGAUGGGCAGAAGUGAGUGGGCAGUGGGCCUUACACAAUAGGGUUCAGAGGGUUCAGAACUGAGGAGGUACCAUUGCUCCCAACUAUCUGCAGCUCCCAUCUGGGGCAGGUCUGAGAGCCACCAGCUCAGUGCUGGCUGUGGAAGCAGAUUGUAGACACUGGCAGGGGCACUCAGGGUGCUGCUGGAUGGAGUGUGCUACAGACAGCACUCUUGAAGGUUAUGGCAGAAAUUAGCACAAGUGGGAGUGUCAGAUCAGGUGUACCAGGCUAACAGUGUGCUCCCUGUGAACCAGAUGCAAGUGAACAGGAGUGAAACAUGUCUGAUAAAGCAUGCUUCAUCUUGAAGUUCUUUUUUUGUUGGCCUUGUUAGCUGUUUUAAUAAAUGCACUUUAUAAUUUGCUUUUAAUGUACUGUAUAGCUAAGAGAACUGGCUACAGAUAUUGGCCAUUUGUUAUGGAUAGCUCUGCCCACAGAGACUGGAUGCUUGGAAAUGCUGGAAUUGUGUUAAUGAUGUGAUGGGUCAGAGCUGGACGUUGCUGGGGUCAGGAGAAAGGUGACAUUUAAUCUCUGCUGGAUCAAAUAAAACAGGGCUGGAUCCCUGUCAUAGGCUAGACUUGGUCAAGUUUCAGUAAUCCAAAGGGUUAUUUUCCUGCCCACUCUGUCUUUCCAAGCAUUUUUAUCCUUCCUCCAGAAUUCAAAUGCAGCAAGUCGGUAGGCACAGUGGAAUUAGCGAGUAGUUUAUGUUUAGUGAUUAUUUCACAUUCACAGAGGUGUUCUGAGCUCUUUGUUUAGAAAUGGAAUCAUUCACAUGGCAAGGGGCAUACAUAAUAUAUCUCUGCUUUGUAACAGAGGAAAGUGAGAGGGCAUUCAUUUCUAUGAACAGCAGUAUUAAGUUUAUAUGAAACUUUAUCUCUUAAUUAUUACAGAAGAAAUUAUCUUUUAAAAAGUUGCAGCCUUUCCCAUAAGUGCAUUGGAAUUGACUUUGUAACAGUGCCUGUAAUGAUUUUGAAUAUAUUGAGCAAAGCAGAAAAGAUCAAGCAGUUGAUCUGCAGCUCAUAGGUAAAUUAUUUUUCACUAAGGUGCAGAAACACCAUUAUCACAGGAUAAACAUUUUCAGAAAAUAAUCUUUCUUGCCGGGCAUUCUGGUGCUCAAGGCAGAUUUACAAAACAACCAAAGAGAAAACUUGCAAGUGAAGAUACUUCAUAGCGGGACCCAACAGAGGGGCUGAUGACAUACUGUCAUUUCCACUCCUUUCCUGCUAACUUUCCAAUUACAUUCAACUGCUGUCUCGUUUCUCCUUUUCUCACUUCUCUGUCCCACUGGAGUGAGUGACCUGAGCGUGGCUCCCUGUGCUGGAGCUGCCUGCUGCUCAAAGGUGCUAGUUGUCCUUUCCUCUCAUAUCAUCUAAUUGAUAGCAUAAUAAUUUCAUCCCAGAGCACAUCUUACCUAUGUCCUUUUACUGCAGUUUGCAACCUUUGUUUCAGACCUAACAAUGGCUUAUUUGCUUGUCUAUUUCUCCCCCAACUCUAAUAGCUGGUCUCAUAAAAGAUAUUGCCUCUCCCCAUAAACCUCAGCUUUCUACCCUACAUACAUGUUCCUUGGGGGAAGUAAGCAAGAAAAUAGCCUCAAGCCUGGAAUUUCACUGUGAGACCAAACUGUAUUCUUCUGCCAUGUCCCCAGAAUAGGGCCUGCAUUGCAGGUGGGAGCUGCAGGGCUUUGGGCAGCUUCUUGCUCAUGGGUAUUUUAGGGCCAGGUACUGGAUGCCAGCCACUCGUAGGAAGGUGACUGAGGUCUCACUUGCACAGCUCUUGGAAAACCCUCCCAGGGUUUUCUCCUUGAAAAAUCACUACGGUGUUUCUUAAAUAAGACCAUGGUUUUAAACUAGAAGAGGGGAGAUUUAGACUGGAUAUAAGGAAAAGGUUUUUUACAGUGAGGGUGGUGAGGCACUGCCACAGGCUGUCCAGAGAGGUGGUGGGUGCCCCAUCCUUGGAGACAUUGAAAUCAGGCUGGAUGGGGCUCUGAGCAACCUGACUGAGCUGUGGGUGUUCCUUUUUGUUGCAGGGGGGUUGGGCUAGAUGGCCUUUAAGGGUCCCCUCCUCAAAAGAUUCCAUGAUAAUUAGACAUUUCUGUAAAUGAGUGUCCACUAUAUUAAGCAACAUUAAAACACAAGCAUAAUGUAAACACUCUUCAAGUCAGCAGCCAGCCCUACGAUGAAGUUUGCUCUGUGACUCCUUUGUGGGCAGUUUUCUUUGCAGUGUUUUAGCAGUAUUAUGGGGGUAGUGGUGUCUCCCAUUGUGAGCCCCUGGGGGCGGCAACAGGAGUGCACAGGAGUGCUCCACAGCAGCUCUACUGCUGCUGUUUAUCACCUUCCUGUAUUUCUCUGUUUCGGCAAAUUCAUGGGUGUGUUCCGGGGUAUAAUCAGCAAUCAGCACCACAGAUAGCAGCAGUGCCGGUCAAGGCACGGCGACACCCGAGCCAUGACGACCGAACCUCAGGCCAAGACAAAGGGAGAAACAAGGAAGCUGGCGAGCUGAGACAGCAGGGAGCAGCAUGGAGCCGCGCUGGCGGCCGCCCACGCCUCAGGGCCGGGCCCGCGAGGAAGUCGUGCAGCGGGUGAUGGCGUGAGGGCUCCUGCGUGCAGAGCUGUGCUCGGUGCGAGGGCGGCUUCCUCGCCUGGCAGCGCUGGGUGUGCAGGGCGCAGGCUGGCGGCGGGCUGUGAGCCGCGGCUGUGCCGGCCGAGCCUCGGGCGGCGUGCCCUGCUGCCGCUGGCACUGCGGGCUCUGACCGCUGCAGGGAGGGCUCUGAGCACCCCUUGAAAGGAAUGACAUUAUAUCGUGCUUUAGGGAACAGCGAUGAUCUCUUUUGGCAUCGUGCUGUUACGACAAGUGCGUGUGUGCGAUUUAUCCUAAUUAAAAAAGUACGACAGACAUAAGCCAGAGAAAUGUCUGUAAAUGGCACAGUCUGGUCCCGUCUUUGUUUAUCACCACUGUAAUGCAUUGCUGGCAUCCUAAAACAAUGAGCCCAUGUUACUUGGUGUCAGCACAGGCUUGGCCGGAGGAAUUAAAAGGUGUGCAGUAGUGAAACAGCCUGAGCAUUUAGCAAGGGGAUCCACAGCUCAGGUUUGCUGGCUCCUUCCUUACUGCGGUUUGGAUUUUAUUCUGUUUGUGUAGCAGGAGGAAGGAGAUGAAAUAUAGAAGCCCUUUCUUGCCAUGAAUGAAAGAAUUAUCUGCUGCAUAAGGCCGCCUCUAUGGAAUUAACACAGGUCCUUGCUCUAUGCAUGUAGAGUAAGUUUUCAGAUCAAAACAGACCUCUGAAGGAAUAUACACUGGCGCAUUAAAGAAAGACGCUGCAAUAUUCUGUAUCAAAAAGGUUAAACUCGUCGGAUUCUAUGUAAACAGUCAUUUUACCCUAGCUAACCUGUAAAGAUUUCAUUUUGCUUCAUUUAUCUUCUUCCUUACCGUAUGGUAUACCAUCCCGAGCUUCGAUGAAAGAAUCAUGUCUCCAUUCAUUUCCUAUCUUGCUGAAUUGCCUUCGCAUUUCCUAUCAUCUGCACAUAAUCCUAUUCUCUCCAUUAUUGUCUUAAUACCAAGUACAGCACAAGAUAAUGGAUAGGCACUGUAAUAACAGUGUGGCCUGUAGGAGCCCCUCGAGGGAAAUAUCUUUGACGCUGGUAGAAUAUUAAUGCAUCUCAGGUCCCUGAUCUUCCUCUUUCACUUCAUCUCCUGUUUUCUAAACUACAUAAUGACUUUCAUAUACAUGACAAAAGCAUUAGAACAGAAAAAGACUCAUUGAUGAGCGGCGGAGCUGUGUGAUAUUAAGAAGUACUAUUCUCAGUUCUUUGUACAAUUUUUGACCACCAUCAGAGACAGUGUGUGCAGGUAAUUUCUGAUUUGAAUAGAUACAGGCAUAAAGAACCAUUAUCAUACUCUGUUAAUCCAAAUGCCCAUCACAGGCACUGCAUGAAAAUAAAUUAAAAUGUAAUUCUUCAAUAAUGCAUCUGUCUACAGGAUGAUUUUCAGCAGAUUAAAAACAAACAACUUGAUAUCACUUAGAAAGGCUAGCGCAUUGUUUUUUGAGAAGCUUAAUCAUCAGCAGAUUAUGGAUGGAACAGUAAAUCAAAGCAGGGUAUGUUAAACAGUGUAGAUUGUGUUGUAGCAGCAAUUUACUGUACAUAAUUUUUUAAUAAAAGCGAAAAAUUGAUUUUCGUGAGCGUAAACAUUGAAUCCUGAGAGAAUUUAGAUGCUAUUAUCGAGAAAGGAAAUGUUAAAAAUGCUACUGUUGCUUCCACAUGACAAGAACCUUUGGUUUCCUUUACCAGGAAGAGAAGUUUGCUCCUUUCAGGACUGCCUUUGGCACAACUCUUUUUCCUCUCUCUUCUCCUCCUCUGAAAAUUAUCAUUUUCCUAUUGCAUUUGGCUAAUGUACUCCACAACCAUUCCCUACCAAAUCCAAGUUGUACCCUGGCAAGGAAGAGAAGCCAACAGACCUUCCCUUUGUGCCAGGAGGAACUUGCCCAACCUGUAGGUGCUGGAAGGUGGAAAACUGAGUCAGGAGUGAGAGCCAGAGAACAGAGGAAGAAGCAUUCUGGGGUUCAGAAAGAAACAAAAAUAUGCUUGAAAGUUAAUCAUACUUUAAAACAACAAUUAAAACAACCCUCCUGCCACACACGGGCACUCAGGAGCACGGCUGUCCUCACACCUCUAGCUAUGCAAAUGCUGAACAGUGCCUCCAGCUUCCCCACAUGGUUCUGGGUGCUGCCAGGCCCUGGGAGCCCAGGAAAUGUCACAGUGAGAGACUGAAGCUGUGCUGAAGGAAAUCUGUCCCAAGAGGGAGGGAGGAGACAGUCUGUCUGUUCCUGGCCUUGCCUUUGUUUUAUUUAUGCCCUAAUUUUAUUUCCAGAUGAUUCACUUGAUUUAUUUCACUGCUUUUAAUGUUGUUUCUUUUCUGUUCUGAACUUGAAUGGUGCUGUGAAAUAGUCUAAUAUUAAAUUAUGGCGAUUCUGCAUUUUAAAAUGGGCUCGGCAGGGUGGAAGAACACAUGUGAAGCUCAGAGACAUCAUGUUUUAUGUUGGAAAGCUGAAGUUGUCCCUUUGAAUCCUGGUAAAAGCUACGUUAGCAAGUUCUGUUGCUGUCAUUAUAAAUGUAAUGCCUUUUCUUUCACAUGUGCUUACUUGCCAAGAGAAAAAAAUGACAUCCUGGGUGACACUGGUAGUGUGGGAUCCCAGUCUAAGAGACUGUAAACAAGAGGAGGUGAGAAAGAACUCAGCUCACUACUUUAAGAAUUCACUUAAAACUUGUGGUUUAAAUUUAGGUCUGGAAUCAAAAUGCUAUUGUUCUCCUCCACACUCCCCCCCCCCCCCCCAGCACACACACACUUCCCCUUCGAAAAGGGGUUUGACUUAUGGCUCCUCAAUAGUUGCCCUACAUACAACAUAGUCAGUAGCUGAUUAAAAUAGGGUUCAAGGAAGCAGAUCCCCAGAACCAGUGCUGUGGGAUGCACAGGCCCUUUUCUGCUUUACUGGUGUUGUCUUUACUGGCUCUGUCAUGCUGCGUUGGGCUUAGCGUGACACAGCAUGGCAGGAAUUACUAUCAACACGGUGACAAGAAGAAUAUCUGAGACCCUAGCAAACGCUAGGAAAAAGGAAACAGUGCUUUUUAUUAUUAUUUAUCUACAAUACUGAAAACUGAUGGCCACCACAGUCCUGGCCCUCAGAGCUGUACCACUGAUCACCGUUAUCAGCAUGAAGACUCUGAAGGAGUCCACAUUGCCUUAGAGGAAGGCUGAAAUCAGUGAACCUGCUGUCAGGCUGGGCAUGGGUCAGGCUGAACUGGGUAGAGCAAGAGCCUGUGAUAGUUGGGAACUUAUUGGUGUUCUCAGUCUGCUUGAAUGGAUAGUCCUGGGAUCUGGUGCUGAGUUGCCAUGGCUUUGGUCUUGAGUCUGGGCUUGAAGAAGAAUAUAUCUUGUUUUCCCAAGAAGUGAAUAGAUUUCAAUUAAAACCCUGUUUUAAAAAAUAUUUCUAGUCACGUAUUAAUUAGUCCCUGUGAUGAGUCCCAUCUGAGUGUGGUGGGCUCGUGGCUGCCUGCAGUUACUGUCUUCUGCUUAUGGGGAUGUUGUUGGAGGGAAGCACAGCACAUGCACAGUACUUGAAGGGAGCGUAUAAACAGGAAGGGGAACGUCUGUUUACAAGGGUGGAUAGUGAUAGGACAAGGGGGAAUGGUUUUCAACUGGGACAGGGGAGGUUUAGGCUGGAUAUUAGGAAGAAGUUUUUUACACAGAGGGUGGUGACACACUGGAACAGGUUGCCCAAGGAGGUUGUGGAUGCCCCAUCCCUGGAGGCACUCAAGGCCAGGCUGGAUGUGGCUCUGGGCAGCCUGGUCUGGUGGUUGGCGAUCCUGCACAUAGCAGGGGGGUUGAAACUACAUGAUCACUGUGGUCCUUUUCAACCCAGGCCAUUCUGUGCACCUUGAACAAGUCUUCAGUUUGCUGGACCCCUCUUUGUUGCUUUGACAUGCUAAACACUGCUGACAGGAUUAUUUUACUCUUAGAAUCACAUUCAGGAUUUUGACCAUGAAUGUUUUUAUAUUUAUUUAUUUGUUUGUUUGUUUGUUUUUUAUUUUAUGCUAAUGCUUGGGUUACCGCUGUGAGUCUGAAAAUCUGGGAGGACGUACUGUGUUUGCAGGGCUGCAAUACAACUUUGAUGCCUUCGUACACUGUAUUCCUCCUGUAACUUCUGGCAUGCAGCAAAAUUAUCUUUUAAUUUACUUCUAACAAAUAAACUCAAUUUUACUAUUCAAAUAAAGUUUUGUGAGACAACAGACUCUGUUUACCAACCUUAUGUUGGUCAUUUUUGAGGGUUAAGAAAAGAUUCUGAAUUAUGUAACUGAACUUUCUAACUAAUAAGAGAAGUGACAUGGAUUUUAAUUGUCACUUAAGUAUUGUACCUCGUUCUACAGAUUAUUGUCUUUCCUCCUUUUUUUUUUUUUUUUUUUUUUUUAAAGUCUACUGCUAGCAAGGAAUCUAAAUAGACCACACCUUUUCUCUAUCCUAUGUAGCUGCACUUCCAGUAUUAAGAAGAAAAGUGCUCUCCAUUAGAUUAUCUGUGAUGCUACCUUUUUAUUAGUAGUAUUUUAAGAGAUACUACAUGCAUUGUGCUUGAAGUAUACUCGGAAGGAUUUUAUCUGUGACAGCAACUCCUGUUGUUUUUAAUCUUAAUCCAGACAUCACUAAUUUUAUGUUUGGGAGUAAACAUAGUAUUAAAUGAGAAUCCACCUAGAAUGGUAAUUGGUGCUGCUCUUUUGUAUGCUGGGUUUCAUAUCUGCGUGUAAUUGCCGGUGCCCUAUAGAAAUGUUAAUUAUCUUGGCUAAUCCUGUUUCCCUUGAUCGAUCUGGAGCAGUCCCAGUUAGCAAGAAGGUGUAACCCAGGAAAGUUAGCAAUACGGCAUAGAACUGAUGCACAAGUGGGGAGGUGCAGCUGCACUAGGUGUUACCGUCUGCAGGACAUGCAAGUGCAUGCUCAGCAUGUGGGGCAUGACGUCAAGCACGGUGUGGUAUCCUGCUUGGAAUGACUGCAAUGAUACUGUCAUUAUGUUUAUAAUGAAAAAUAGAGAAAAAAUUAAGCUGCAAUUUGUCAUUUCCAUGUUUCUAGUGCUGUGCUGACCUGUACAAUUGUGUGGGCCCCAGUGCUGACAGGCAGUGCCCCGAGAAAACUGCCAGGCCUGAUGGAAGGACAGCUGUCUCUACAGGCUUGGGCAGCCCCACAGACAUGACUCCGAGUAGUGUGACAAGGAAUGCCCCUCUGUCUGUGUGCCCACAUCCCCAUGUGUGCUCCAGUGCAGGGCCUAGAGUGGCUGUGGUACUGCUGCUACCCUGUGCCUAGCACACAGACCUGGUUCUGCCUCUCUCAGUAGACCCCUGCCUCAUAAAGGAAACUCCUUAUUUUUAUGUAGAAACCGUGUCUUCUGACUGUAGCCCUUGUACUGUUGCCAUAUCCCAAAGAAUAUUUCAUGUUAUUUUAUACCAUUUUCUUAGAUAACAUUUUCUUUUCUUACAAAGUCCGAAUAUAAAUAAUCACUUAUAGCACAUCUCCUGAAUCAAUGAGGUUCUGCAGACAGGAGCUAAGCUUUCAUAAAAAUGCCAUUGUCAGGCAAGGUUUGGUACAGCACCUACAGUCUAGAUGAGGAAAAAUUUGAAACUGUGGAUAAUUUCUUAUCUACAUAUCCCUGAUGGCUGAACUGUGCGCCAGUAACUGGGAACACUUCUUGUAAUGCUGCUUUUAAGUGGGAAAGAUACUGAAUAAGGCAAAGAAAAAAUCAACAUAUAAAAAAUCUUAGCUAUAAAAUAAGUUGAGUGUAGGUUUAGAAGAGGGGAUAUGUAAAAUGCCUAAUUAAGAAUAAAGAAAACCCCUGUGCUGAAGUUUCAAAACCCAAAUGAGCAUUGUAUGUGGAGAUAAAGCAUUCCCAAAGGAAAACACUGCAAGAAAAUUAUUCUUGGCAUUUUCUAUUCAUUUCUAUUACAUUGAUUUUAAAAUCAGUUCUUCUAAAAUAUGGCACUGUUUUAUAUACAUCU